This 221-nucleotide ribosomal RNA is filed under the name uncultured bacterium. RNAcentral's name for it is "partial 16S ribosomal RNA". It matches the Rfam family "Bacterial small subunit ribosomal RNA", at positions 32 to 233 of the family's 1533-position model. The record is from RNAcentral.
AAUCAACGCUGGCGGCGUGCCUCAGACAUGCAAGUCGAACGCGAAAUCUCCCUUCGGGGAGAAAGUAGAGUGGCGCACGGGUGAGUAACACGUGGGUAAUCUACCUCUGGGUGGGAAUAACAGUCGGAAACGGCUGCUAAUACCGCAUAAUGCAGCGGCAUCACAUGAUGACAGUUGUUAAAGCGGGGGAUCGUAAGACCUCGCGCCUUGAGAGGAGCCCG